This 501-nucleotide ribosomal RNA is filed under the name uncultured bacterium. Its description in RNAcentral is "partial 16S ribosomal RNA". It matches the Rfam family "Bacterial small subunit ribosomal RNA", at positions 30 to 523 of the family's 1533-position model. The record is from RNAcentral.
AUUGAACGCUGGCGGCAGGCUUAACACACGCAAGUCGAGCGGGGGAAGGUAGCUUGCUACUGGACCUAGCGGCGGACGGGUGAGUAAUGCUUAGGAAUCUGCCUAUUAGUGGGGGACAACAUCUCGAAAGGGAUGCUAAUACCGCAUACGUCCUACGGGAGAAAGCAGGGGAUCUUCGGACCUUGCGCUAAUAGAUGAGCCUAAGUCAGAUUAGCUAGUUGGUGGGGUAAAGGCCUACCAAGGCGACGAUCUGUAGCGGGUCUGAGAGGAUGAUCCGCCACGCUGGGACUGAGACACGGCCCAGACUCCUACGGGAGGCAGCAGUGGGGAAUAUUGGACAAUGGGGGGAACCCUGAUCCAGCCAUGCCGCGUGUGUGAAGAAGGCCUUAUGGUUGUAAAGCACUUUAAGCGAGGAGGAGGCUACUUUAGUUAAUACCUAGAGAUAGUGGACGUUACUCGCAGAAUAAGCACCGGCUAACUCUGUGCCAGCCGCCGCCGUAA